This 793-nucleotide non-coding RNA is filed under the name Homo sapiens (human). Lineage: Eukaryota; Metazoa; Chordata; Mammalia; Primates; Hominidae. The record is from RNAcentral.
GAGUACUUUUCGUCAGGGUUUGGUGAUUGGAAGUAAACCUGUAAUUUACCCAGUGCUCCACUGGCUUCUUCAGAGGACUAAUGAACUGAAGAAAAGAGCAUAUUUAGCUCGUUUUUUAAUAAAACUUGAGGUACCAAGUGAGUUUCUUCAGGAUGAAACUGUGGCUGACACCAAUAAACAGUAUGAAGAGUUAAUGGAAGCCUUUAAAACUUUGCAUAAAGAAUAUGAGCAGCUCAAGAUAUCUGGAUUUUCUACAGCAGAAAUAAGAAAGGAUAUCAGUGCAAUGGAAGAAGAAAAGGAUCAGCUCAUUAAGAGAGUUGAACAUUUGAAGAAAAGGGUUGAGACAGCUCAGAAUCAUCAAUGGAUGCUUAAAAUAGCAAGGCAACUUCGAGUUGAAAAAGAGAGAGAAGAAUAUCUUGCACAACAGAAACAGGAACAAAAGAAUCAGCUAUUUCAUGCAGUGCAAAGAUUGCAAAGAGUACAAAACCAGCUGAAAAGCAUGCGCCAAGCUGCAGCAGAUGCAAAGCCUGAAAGUUUAAUGAAGAGGCUAGAGGAGGAGAUAAAAUUUAAUUUAUAUAUGGUAACUGAAAAAUUUCCUAAAGAAUUAGAAAAUAAGAAAAAGGAAUUACAUUUUUUACAAAAAGUAGUUUCAGAGCCAGCUAUGGGCCAUUCUGAUCUUCUUGAACUUGAAUCUAAAAUAAAUGAAAUAAACACAGAAAUUAACCAGUUGAUUGAAAAGAAAAUGAUGAGAAAUGAGCCCAUUGAAGGCAAACUCUCACUGUAUAGGCAACAG